RNAcentral lists this ribosomal RNA (496 nucleotides) under uncultured bacterium. RNAcentral's name for it is "partial 16S ribosomal RNA". It matches the Rfam family "Bacterial small subunit ribosomal RNA", at positions 29 to 507 of the family's 1533-position model. The record is from RNAcentral.
AUGAACGCUGGCGGCGUGCCUCAUACCUGCAAGUCGAGCGAACAGAUGAGGAGCCUGCUCCUCUGACGUUAGCGGCGGACGGGUGAGUAACACGUGGAUAACCUACCUAUAAGACUGGGAUAACUUCGGGAAACCGGAGCUAAUACCGGAUAAUAUAUUGAACCGCAUGGUUCAAUAGUGAAAGACGGUUUUGCUGUCACUUAUAGAUGGAUCCGCGCCGCAUUAGCUAGUUGGUAAGGUAACGGCUUACCAAGGCAACGAUGCGUAGCCGACCUGAGAGGGUGAUCGGCCACACUGGAACUGAGACACGGUCCAGACUCCUACGGGAGGCAGCAGUAGGGAAUCUUCCGCAAUGGGCGAAAGCCUGACGGAGCAACGCCGCGUGAGUGAUGAAGGUCUUCGGAUCGUAAAACUCUGUUAUUAGGGAAGAACAAAUGUGUAAGUAACUAUGCACGUCUUGACGGUACCUAAUCAGAAAGCCACGGCUAACUACGUG